This 469-nucleotide ribosomal RNA is filed under the name uncultured bacterium. RNAcentral describes it as "bacterial SSU rRNA". It matches the Rfam family "Bacterial small subunit ribosomal RNA", at positions 355 to 823 of the family's 1533-position model. The record is from RNAcentral.
UGGGGAAUAUUGGACAAUGGACGAAAGUCUGAUCCAGCAACGCCGCGUGAGCGAUGAAGGCCUUCGGGUCGUAAAGCUCUGUCAGAUGGAACGAAAGAAGCUAACCUAAUACGUUAGCUGUUGACGGUACCAUCAAAGGAAGCACCGGCUAACUCUGUGCCAGCAGCCGCGGUAAUACAGGGGGUGCGAGCGUUAAUCGGAAUUACUGGGCGUAAAGGGCGCGUAGGCGGUCGAGUAAGUCGGGUGUGAAAUCCCCGGGCUUAACCUGGGAAUUGCAUUCGAUACUGCUUGGCUAGAGUGUGGAAGAGGGAAGCGGAAUUUCCGGUGUAGCGGUGAAAUGCGUAGAUAUCGGAAGGAACACCAGUGGCGAAGGCGGCUUCCUGGUCCAACACUGACGCUGAGGCGCGAAAGCGUGGGGAGCAAACAGGAUUAGAUACCCCGGUAGUCCCUGAGCGGGCUGGCAAGGCGC